AUGAGGAACAAUUUAUUGGAAUUUAUGAUUACAACGUAUGAUAGUAGUAGAAAGCGAUUUAUUAUUUGGCCAAAUACUGACGGCAUCAGUGUGCUUAAUGAAGAUGUUUAUAACAUAUUCGGGCUACGUAACAAGGGUGAUGAUGUCAGUAGCAUGAUAGCAACAGUACAACUAGAUGCCAAAAAAAUUUCAUAUGAUGAUGAUUUUGUGAGAAGGGCUGUACUGGUUCUUAUGGGUACAGUCUUAGCACCACAAUCCACCAAGUUUGUUCCUUAUCAUUAUUACAAAAUGGUGAAGGACGUGAACGCUAUCAAGUCUUACAAUUGGAACGAUUUCACGUUGGGGGUGUGCAUGGAUGCUAUUAAAAAAUCGGUCGAAGAUCUUGAAAAAUUCAAGUGGCCUAUCGGGAACUUGGCUCUUCUUCAGAAACGGAAGGGAAAAAGCGAGACGACUAUGACAACAUGCACGGGCAUGGCACCGACAAUAUUGAAAACUAUGUUAGCGAAGAGUAGAGACGUGCUAAGGUUGAACACGGAAGGUGUGCUGCACAAACCCAAUAAGAGGGACAACAAUGACGAAUUUGAUAAUGUAGGUGAAGGAGUUGGGAUGGACAAUGGCCAGUACAAGUCAUCAAAAUAA
This 639-nucleotide ribosomal RNA is filed under the name Triticum aestivum (bread wheat). RNAcentral describes it as "partial small subunit ribosomal RNA". Lineage: Eukaryota; Viridiplantae; Streptophyta; Magnoliopsida; Poales; Poaceae. The record is from RNAcentral.